RNAcentral lists this ribosomal RNA (840 nucleotides) under Triticum aestivum (bread wheat). Its description in RNAcentral is "partial small subunit ribosomal RNA". The record is from RNAcentral. Lineage: Eukaryota; Viridiplantae; Streptophyta; Magnoliopsida; Poales; Poaceae.
AUGGCGUCGUCACGGCCGGAGACGGCGGGGGGAGCGCCGUGGAGCAAGCUGCAGGGGCAGGUGGUGCUGGUGACGGGCGCCUCCUCCGGCCUCGGCCGUGAGUUCUGCCUCGACCUGGCGCGCGCGGGCUGCCGGGUCGUCGGCGCGGCGCGCCGCGCCGACCGUCUCCGCUCCCUCUGCGACGAGAUCAACGCGGCCGCCCAAGUCCCCCUGGCGGUGGCCGUCGGGCUGGACGUCGCUGCAGGCGAGUCGUCCGUCGAGGCGGCGGUGCGGACGGCGUGGGACGCCUUCGGCCGUGUCGACGUCUUGAUUAACAACGCCGGAGUCCGAGGAGGUGUGCAUUUGGCGUUGGAUUGCUCGGAGGACGAGUGGGAUAAACUCAUGAAGACCAACCUUAGGGGAGUAUGGCUCGUGGCCAAGCAUGUGUGCAGACGCAUGCGUGACGCCAAGCUGAAGGGCUCAGUAAUAAACAUUUCGUCCACUUCCGGUCUUGAUGGUGGGAUGACACAUGGCUCCGUGGCUUACUCGGCGUCCAAGUCUGCCGUGCACUCCGUCACAAAGGUAAUGGCAUUGGAAUUAGGAGCACAUGGCAUUCGGGUGAACACGAUUGCGCCCGGAAUCUUCAAGUCGGAGAUAACUGCUCCCUUACUGCAAAAGAGAUGGGUGAACGAUGUCUUUUCAAAGAUCCUGCCACUCAAGACAAUCGGCACUCCUGACCCAGCGUUGACGUCGCUGGUUCGUUUCCUGAUCCAUGAAACAUCAUCAUAUAUAAGUGGUAACAUCUUUGUUGUAGAUUCAGGCCUCAUCCUACCUGGUGUCCCUAUAUUCUCAUCUCUGUAA